AUCAAGCAGACGAGUCUCAAACAGGACGAAACGUGCGUCUUAUAU
RNAcentral lists this non-coding RNA (45 nucleotides) under Schistosoma mansoni. Lineage: Eukaryota; Metazoa; Platyhelminthes; Trematoda; Strigeidida; Schistosomatidae. The record is from RNAcentral.